CGGCCCAACCGCCCUAACGGCCAAAAACGGCCGCAGCUGCGUCAGCGCGCGCCGGGGGGGAGAAACCUUCGUCACUUCCGGUCCGUCUGAGUACUGCGGUCCGGGGGGAAUAGCCCGGCAUUAACCCCUCCGUGCCCGGCCGGCGGGGGGGAGGGGGCUUUCUCCAGCUGGGACCCGCCCCCGGGCCGGAGCCCCCCGGCUGCAGAAUGACGUCCAUGUCUCGCUCCAGCUCAUCCCGUCCUCCCAUGGGACAGGGAAGAAAAAUGGCUGCAGUGGAGUCAGUUCAGGGGCCGGUGACCUUCGAGGAGGUGGCUGUGUAUUUCACCAGGGAAGAGGGGGCUC
Long non-coding RNA from Trachemys scripta elegans, 342 nucleotides. RefSeq lists it as uncharacterized. NCBI's taxonomy places the organism in Eukaryota, Metazoa, Chordata, Testudines, Emydidae. The record is from RefSeq and is a predicted model, not a curated record. The transcript is spliced from 3 exons.